This 27-nucleotide non-coding RNA is filed under the name Homo sapiens (human). The record is from RNAcentral. Lineage: Eukaryota; Metazoa; Chordata; Mammalia; Primates; Hominidae.
UAAAUGGGGAGCCCUUACACUCAUGGC